CGGAUAUGCAUAUCAAUAAGCGGAGGAAGAUUCUAUAUGUGCACCGUGCGUAAUCUCACAUCAAUAAGCUUGAACAAGCAUUAUCUAUUGGCUCCAGCAUCAUUUCAAUAACGCAGCGAAACGCGAUAUGUAGUGUGAAUUGCAGAAUUCAGUGAAUCAUCGAAUCUUUGAACGCACAUUGCGCCUUCCAGUAUCCUGGGAGGCAUGCCUGUCCGAGCGUCGUUUCAACCCUCGAGCCCCCGUGGCCCGGUGUUGGGGACGCUGCCCAGCUACCUGGGCAGCCCCCCUAAAUGCAGUGGCGGUCCCGCAAGUCCCAGCCCUUUGCGUAGUAAUAUCAUUCUCGCUCUGGACGGCUCGCGGGCUUACCAGCCUCGAAACCCCCUACAAAGACCGCCCCGGCGGCAACGGUUGACCUCGGAUCAGGUAGGAAUACCCGCUGAACUUAAGCAUAUCAUAAGCCGGAGGAAAC
Molecule: ribosomal RNA, 469 nt
Filed under: Acrostalagmus luteoalbus
Lineage: Eukaryota; Fungi; Ascomycota; Sordariomycetes; Glomerellales; Plectosphaerellaceae
Description: eukaryotic LSU rRNA
Rfam family: 5.8S ribosomal RNA (bases 76-222)
Source: RNAcentral